Molecule: ribosomal RNA, 497 nt
Filed under: uncultured bacterium
Lineage: Bacteria
Description: partial 16S ribosomal RNA
Rfam family: Bacterial small subunit ribosomal RNA
Source: RNAcentral
GAUGAACGCUGGCGGCGUGCCUAAUACAUGCAAGUCGAGCGAACAGACGAGGAGCUUGCUCCUCUGACGUUAGCGGCGGACGGGUGAGUAACACGUGGAUAACCUACCUAUAAGACUGGGAUAACUUCGGGAAACCGGAGCUAAUACCGGAUAAUAUAUUGAACCGCAUGGUUCAAUAGUGAAAGACGGUUUUGCUGUCACUUAUAGAUGGAUCCGCGCCGCAUUAGCUAGUUGGUAAGGUAACGGCUUACCAAGGCAACGAUGCGUAGCCGACCUGAGAGGGUGAUCGGCCACACUGGAACUGAGACGCGGUCCAGACUCCUACGGGAGGCAGCAGUAGGGAAUCUUCCGCAAUGGGCGAAAGCCUGACGGAGCAACGCCGCGUGAGUGAUGAAGGUCUUCGGAUCGUAAAAUUCUGUUAUUAGGGAAGAACAAAUGUGUAAGUAACUAUGCACGUCUUGACGGUACCUAAUCAGAAAGCCACGGCUAACUACGUG